Molecule: ribosomal RNA, 466 nt
Filed under: Vreelandella stevensii
Lineage: Bacteria; Pseudomonadati; Pseudomonadota; Gammaproteobacteria; Oceanospirillales; Halomonadaceae
Description: partial 16S ribosomal RNA
Rfam family: Bacterial small subunit ribosomal RNA
Source: RNAcentral
CCUACGGGGGGGCAGCAGUGGGGAAUAUUGGACAAUGGGGGGAACCCUGAUCCAGCCAUGCCGCGUGUGUGAAGAAGGCCCUCGGGUUGUAAAGCACUUUCAGUGAGGAAGAACGCCUGGUGGUUAAUACCCAUCAGGAAAGACAUCACUCACAGAAGAAGCACCGGCUAACUCCGUGCCAGCAGCCGCGGUAAUACGGAGGGUGCGAGCGUUAAUCGGAAUUACUGGGCGUAAAGCGCGCGUAGGUGGCUUGAUAAGCCGGUUGUGAAAGCCCCGGGCUCAACCUGGGAACGGCAUCCGGAACUGUCAAGCUAGAGUGCAGGAGAGGAAGGUAGAAUUCCCGGUGUAGCGGUGAAAUGCGUAGAGAUCGGGAGGAAUACCAGUGGCGAAGGCGGCCUUCUGGACUGACACUGACACUGAGGUGCGAAAGCGUGGGUAGCAAACAGGAUUAGAUACCCCGGUAGUC